UACGAAGGGGGCUAGCGUUGUUCGGAAUUACUGGGCGUAAAGGGCGCGCAGGCGGCUCUUCAAGUCAGAUGUGAAAGCCCCGGGCUCAACCUGGGAACUGCAUUUGAGACUGGAGAGCUUGAGUUCGGGAGAGGAGAGCGGAAUUCCCAGUGUAGAGGUGAAAUUCGUAGAUAUUGGGAAGAACACCGGUGGCGAAGGCGGCUCUCUGGACCGAUAC
RNAcentral lists this ribosomal RNA (217 nucleotides) under uncultured bacterium. Its description in RNAcentral is "partial 16S ribosomal RNA". It matches the Rfam family "Bacterial small subunit ribosomal RNA", at positions 524 to 740 of the family's 1533-position model. The record is from RNAcentral.